GUAAAAUAAAGGGAUUUUGCUCCCCUGCUAAGGGAGUAGGGCGUGUAAAAAGCGCCGCGGAGGUUCAAAUCCUCUCUUCCGCGCCA
This 86-nucleotide transfer RNA is filed under the name Bacteriophage sp. RNAcentral describes it as "tRNA-Ser". It matches the Rfam family "tRNA". Rfam says of the family: Transfer RNA (tRNA) molecules are approximately 80 nucleotides in length. Their secondary structure includes four short double-helical elements and three loops (D, anti-codon, and T loops). Further hydrogen bonds mediate the characteristic L-shaped molecular structure. tRNAs have two regions of fundamental functional importance: the anti-codon, which is responsible for specific mRNA codon recognition, and the 3' end, to which the tRNAs corresponding amino acid is attached (by aminoacyl-tRNA synthetases). tRNAs cope with the degeneracy of the genetic code in two manners: having more than one tRNA (with a specific anti-codon) for a particular amino acid; and 'wobble' base-pairing, i.e. permitting non-standard base-pairing at the 3rd anti-codon position. The record is from RNAcentral. RNAcentral also lists the same sequence under 1 other name.